GCCCGGAUGGCGGAACGGCAGACGCGGCGGCCUCAAAAGCCGCUGUCCGAGAGGGCGUGCGGGUUCGAGUCCCGCUCCGGGCA
This 83-nucleotide transfer RNA is filed under the name Actinomycetota bacterium. RNAcentral describes it as "tRNA-Leu". It matches the Rfam family "tRNA". Rfam says of the family: Transfer RNA (tRNA) molecules are approximately 80 nucleotides in length. Lineage: Bacteria; Bacillati; Actinomycetota. The record is from RNAcentral.